ACGGAAGGCAGCAGUGGGGAAUAUUGCACAAUGGGCGAAAGCCUGAUGCAGCGACGCCGCGUGAGUGAAGAAGUAUCUCGGUAUGUAAAGCUCUAUCAGCAGGGAAGAAAAUGACGGUACCUGGCUAAGAAGCCCCGGCUAACUACGUGCCAGCAGCCGCGGUAAUACGUAGGGGGCAAGCGUUAUCCGGAUUUACUGGGUGUAAAGGGAGCGUAGACGGUUUGGCAAGUCUGAAGUGAAAUGCGGGGGCUCAACUCCUGAACUGCUUUGGAAACUGUCGAACUAGAGUGCAGGAGAGGUAAGUGGAAUUCCUAGUGUAGCGGUGAAAUGCGUAGAUAUUAGGAGGAACACCAGUGGCGAAGGCGGCUUACUGGACUGUAACUGACGUUGAGGCUCGAAAGCGUGGGGAGCAAACAGGAUUAGAUACCCUGGUA
RNAcentral lists this ribosomal RNA (434 nucleotides) under uncultured Clostridium sp. RNAcentral's name for it is "partial 16S ribosomal RNA". It matches the Rfam family "Bacterial small subunit ribosomal RNA", at positions 341 to 792 of the family's 1533-position model. RNAcentral also lists the same sequence under 1 other name. The record is from RNAcentral. Lineage: Bacteria; Bacillati; Bacillota; Clostridia; Eubacteriales; Clostridiaceae.